AUGAUGUUCCUCUUGCGUGGAGAGAGAAGAUGGACUUCGGUUAAAUCACGCAGCUGAAAGGAGCUCAGAGGAGGGAAACAACUCCUUGCUGGAGGUGAUGCGAUGCCUUCCCAUGCACGUCCUGCAUCUGACAAAUAGGUGACAACAGGACAAGAGAUAAUCAAUAGGACAUGAGAAACAUGGAGUUUAAGCACAGGAAGAAAAUUAAUAAACAAAGAGAUUUCCUUCAUGGGGAUGGAUAAUUGUAGGAGACUGCUUGAAGAAGGG
Molecule: long non-coding RNA, 267 nt
Filed under: Gallus gallus (chicken)
Lineage: Eukaryota; Metazoa; Chordata; Aves; Galliformes; Phasianidae
Source: RNAcentral